Molecule: long non-coding RNA, 225 nt
Organism: Homarus americanus (American lobster)
Lineage: Eukaryota; Metazoa; Arthropoda; Malacostraca; Decapoda; Nephropidae
Exons: 3
Source: RefSeq, a predicted model, not a curated record
GAGACUGUCAGUAACAGUGGUUUCAAUGAAUUUAAUAGCUACAGCAAGAUGGCGCAGAAAUACCUGGUGACGUUAAUGUUGGUGACGCUACUGGCCUUCCCCUGCUGUGUGGCUGAUGAUGACGACAUACUGACGGGGAUAAAGAGCCAGUUGAGUACCAUCGCCACCACCUUGAAGGACCUCAUGAAUAUUGUCAUACCAUCCACCACCACUCAACCCCCAACU